AUCUGAUCUGAUCCGUUCGUAAGCCGCAACCAGGUUGUCAACCUUAUGCCAUUUCAGAAAAGACCCAAUGAACCCAAUAAUAGGUUCGCCAAAAUCGCUGGUGCAAUAGGUGAGUCGGGUAUAAUCGAUGUUCUGGUGGAUCCCAAACUUGUCAUCAAGACCGUAUUCCUUCAUUAGGAACUCCUUUACCGGAUUUGAAUACACAACGAUCUUACUCGCUUGCUUAAGCGCUUCUGUCUCAUAGGUCUCGAUCUUCUCAAAAAAAGGAGGCUUGACACCAUGAAAGAACUCAUACGACUCUAUCAUCGGCGCAUCGUAGAUCUGGAUCAAUUUCGCGCCGGUCUGCUUGGCCAGCUCUGUCCCAACACUGGACCCGUAGCUAUAGAAUUCCAGUAUGAGA
This 400-nucleotide ribosomal RNA is filed under the name phytoplankton environmental sample. Its description in RNAcentral is "partial small subunit ribosomal RNA". The record is from RNAcentral.